Non-coding RNA from Halosimplex carlsbadense 2-9-1, 992 nucleotides. Lineage: Archaea; Methanobacteriati; Methanobacteriota; Halobacteria; Halobacteriales; Haloarculaceae. The record is from Rfam.
CCCGUUAACGGCGGGGGUAACUAUGACCCUCUUAAGGUAGCGUAGUACCUUGUCGCUUCAGUAGCGACUCGCAUGAAUGGAUUAACGAGAGCCUCGCUGUCCCAACGUUGGGCCCGGUGAACUGUACGUUCCAGUGCGGAGUCUGGAGACCCCCAAGGGGAAGCGAAGACCCUAUAGAGCUUUACUGCAGGCUGUCGCUGGGACGUGGUCGCUACUGUGCAGUGUAGGUAGGAGCUGUUACACAGGUACCCGCGCUAGCGGGCCACCGAGGCAUCCAUGAAACACUACCCGGUAGUGACUGCGACCCUCACUCCUGGCGGAGGACACCGGUAGCCGGGCAGUUUGACUGGGGCGGUACGCGCUUGAAAAGAUAUCGAGCGCGCCCCAAGUCCAUCUCAGCCGUGUCGGAAACGCGGCGAAGAGUGCAAAAGCAAAAGAUGGACUGACAGUGAUCUUCCCAACGAGGAUCGCUGACGUGAAAGCGUGGUUUAGCGAACCAAUUCGCCCGCUCGAUGCGGGCCAUUGCUGACAGAAAAGCUACCUUAGGGAUAACAGAGUCGUCACUCGCAAGAGUACAUAUCGACCGAGUGGCUUGCUACCUCGAUGUCGGUUCCCUCCAUCCUGCCCGUGCAGAAGCGGGCAAGGGGGAGGUUGUUCGCCUAUUAAAGGAGGUCGUGAGCUGGGUUUAGACCGUCGCGAGACAGGUCGGCUGCUAUCUAUUGGGGGUGUCAUUGGUAUCUGACGGGAACGUCCGUAUAGUACGAGAGGAACUACGGAUGGUGGCCACUGGUGUAUCGGUCGUCCGAGAGGGCGCUGCCGAGCAGCCACGCCACACGGGGUAACGGCUGAACGCAUCUAAGCCGGAAACCCACCUGGAAAAGAGAUACCGCAGAGGUCACUCGUAGAAGACGAGUUCGAUAGACUCGGGGUGUACGCACCGAGGCAACGAGGUGUUCAGCCCGCGAGUACUAAUCGACCGAAGCCACCAAUCA